UUUUUCCUGCUGCGCAGGCUUCGAUUCCGGUGCAGGUGCGGGGGUACGUUGCGGGUGAGGCUGUGGGGGAGGGGCAUAGGGCGGCAUAGGGGGCGGGGCGGCGCGGGGUAAGGGCUAGAGGUGGCAGAGCAGAGCGGAGCGGGAGGGAGCGGGAUGAGGGGCAAGCCCCUCUCAUCCAGCACCUGUGUGGCCUUGUUGGUGUACCCUCAUGAAGGAAAUCACAUCCCUGUGUGACCCCGCCCCUGUGGCGUCCUUGGCUCUGAUCCGGUGUCUGGCUGAUGUCAGUGACCUGGCUUAUGAGUGGUGGAGAAAUUGAAAGUGCUCUGAGUUGGAUCACCCUAAAGGUGUUAUCUGUCUACUCUCCUGCUCCAGUAAUUGUAUUAGAGAAGGGCUGAGACCAGGCCUUGGAAGCAGAGGGGAGGGAAGGGGCCCCAGGGCCAGCAGUGUUGACCUCAGAACCAUUGGAUAGCCCCAUAUCACCCCCUCUGCAAGCAGCUCUUCUGAGCAGGGACCAGAGACCUUAGAAAGAAGCAGGCUGUG
This 540-nucleotide long non-coding RNA is filed under the name Bos mutus (wild yak). RNAcentral describes it as "lncRNA (ENSBMUG00000015616.1)". The record is from RNAcentral. Lineage: Eukaryota; Metazoa; Chordata; Mammalia; Artiodactyla; Bovidae.